CCGACAAUGUAUAAACUACUACCAGGUAAUUACUCCCGUGAAGUACACCUCCCCACUUGAAUCUGCUUGGUCUCCACGGUCGCCUGACAGUACGGCAUUAUUUUUUUUCUCUUCAAUGGCAUACUAGAACAGAUUGAUAUUGCAUUAGUGCGGCAUUUUUGGGGGGAUGGCUUGGGGAUUCCCCCUGAGUUGUGCAAGACAAGCCUACACUGCAUCUAUCCGUUCAAGUCUCUACCAUCGCAGCAAUAACUUGGCAUCAGUCCGAGGAUAUUGGGCGAGCUGACCCGGAGGCAAACGGAAAGAGAGGAAAUAUAUUGAAUAGCAAGGUCCUUAAGGUGGUUGCGAUUUAUUUACCCCGUAUUUCUGAUGUGUAUAGUGUGCUUUUUAAUAAGAGGACAUAACCUUUAGAUAUUGAUAUAGACCUGAUACAUUCAAAGUGCUAUCCAAAAAUUUUAUUACUGUUGUAGAUGGCAGCACUGGG
Molecule: small RNA, 481 nt
Filed under: Histoplasma capsulatum
Lineage: Eukaryota; Fungi; Ascomycota; Eurotiomycetes; Onygenales; Ajellomycetaceae
Also listed under: 1 other name
Description: hypothetical RNA
Source: RNAcentral